RNAcentral lists this ribosomal RNA (433 nucleotides) under uncultured bacterium. RNAcentral's name for it is "partial 16S ribosomal RNA". It matches the Rfam family "Bacterial small subunit ribosomal RNA", at positions 29 to 507 of the family's 1533-position model. The record is from RNAcentral.
AACGAACGCUGGCGGCAUGCCUAACACAUGCAAGUCGAACGAGACCUUCGGGUCUAGUGGCGCACGGGUGCGUAACGCGUGGGAACCUGCCCUUAGGUUCGGAAUAACUCCCCGAAAGGGGUGCUAAUACCGGAUAAUGUCUUCGGACCAAAGAUUUAUCGCCUUUGGAUGGGCCCGCGUUGGAUUAGCUAGUUGGUAGGGUAAAAGCCUACCAAGGCGACGAUCCAUAGCUGGUCUGAGAGGAUGAUCAGCCACACUGGGACUGAGACACGGCCCAGACUCCUACGGGAGGCAGCAGUGGGGAAUAUUGGACAAUGGGCGAAAGCCUGAUACAGCAAUGCCGCGGGAGUGAUGAAGGCCUUAGGGUUGUAAAGCUCUUUUACCCGGGAUGAUAAUGACAGUACCGGGAGAAUAAGCUCCGGCUAACUCCGUG